CGUCAGCAGGGCCAGCAAGACGGCGACUUCCACUGGCUGUAAGCCAUCAAAGCUUUGCAUGCGUGAGGCCGGGUUGAUGUUGACUUAAUCAAUCUCCCUGCUGGCGAGGACUUCCUACAGUUAAACACACAUGUCUGGUUAUCAAAGACUCAUGUAGGAUGGUCCCGAGCUCCAAACCAUGGAGGCAGUGGCCUCUUCUCUGUCUCUGUUGUUGAAACCUGAAACAUUGUGUAUGAAGUCUAAUCUUAUGCAUGCUCAUUUAUCCUUCUUGUUAAUGGAAUUGGGGCUGGCAGAAAAUGUUAAGCACGAAGGAAA
Molecule: long non-coding RNA, 315 nt
Organism: Triticum dicoccoides
Lineage: Eukaryota; Viridiplantae; Streptophyta; Magnoliopsida; Poales; Poaceae
Exons: 3
Source: RefSeq, a predicted model, not a curated record